This 497-nucleotide ribosomal RNA is filed under the name uncultured bacterium. RNAcentral describes it as "partial 16S ribosomal RNA". The stretch from base 20 to 341 matches the Rfam family "Bacterial small subunit ribosomal RNA", at positions 47 to 358 of the family's 1533-position model. The record is from RNAcentral.
GAUGAACGCUGGCGGCGUGCCUAAUACAUGCAAGUCGAGCGAACAGACGAGGAGCUUGCUCCUCUGACGUUAGCGGCGGACGGGUGAGUAACACGUGGAUAACCUACCUAUAAGACUGGGAUAACUUCGGGAAACCGGAGCUAAUACCGGAUAAUAUAUUGAACCGCAUGGUUCAAUAGUGAAAGACGGUUUUGCUGUCACUUAUAGAUGGAUCCGCGCCGCAUUAGCUAGUUGGUAAGGUAACGGCUUACCAAGGCAACGAUGCGUAGCCGACCUGAGAGGGGGGAGGGCAAGAGGGGAAGAGAGAAAGGGGAGAGAAAAGGAGGGGAGGAAGAAGGAGGGAAGAGUGAGAAAGGGGCGAAAGUAGGACGGAGAAAAGAAGAGGGAGGGAGGAAGGUGUAAGGAGAGGAGAACGAGGGUAUGAGGGAAGAACAAAAGGGUAAGGAACUAGGCAGGGCGGGAGGGGAAAUAAUAAGAAAGACAGGGCUAAAGAAGGG